UACGGAGGGUGCAAGCGUUGUCCGGAAUCACUGGGCGUAAAGGGCGCGUAGGCGGCUCAUGAAGGCUGUGGUGAAAGUCCGGGGCUCAACCUCGGAUCGGCCGUGGCGACUCGUGGGCUGGAGCACUGUAGAGGCGGGUGGAAUUCCGGGUGUAGCGGUGGAAUGCGUAGAGAUCCGGAAGAACACCAGUGGCGAAGGCGGCUAUCUGGGCUGAAACUGACGCUGAGGCGCGAAGGCUAGGGGAGCAAACAGG
Molecule: ribosomal RNA, 253 nt
Filed under: uncultured bacterium
Lineage: Bacteria
Description: partial 16S ribosomal RNA
Rfam family: Bacterial small subunit ribosomal RNA
Source: RNAcentral